AUUUUGGACAUUGGGGGCAACCCUGAUCCAGCCAUCCCGCGUGUGCUAUGAAGGCCUUCGUGUGGUAAGGCACUUUUGGCAUGGCAGAAAAGGCUCUGGCGACUACCUUGAGCUUCUGACGGUACCUGCAGAAUAAUCACCGGCUCACUACGUGCCAGCAGCCGCGGUAAUACGUAGGGUGCAAGCGUUAAUCGGAAUUACUGGGCGUAAAGCGUGCGCAGGCGGUUCGGCAAGAAGGAUGUGAAAUCCCAGGGCUUAACCUUGGAACUGCAUUCUUAACUGCCGGGCUAGAGUAUGUCAGAGGGGGGUAGAAUUCCGCGUGUAGCAGUGAAAUGCGUAGAGAUGCGGAGGAAUACCGAUGGCGAAGGCAGCCCCCUGGGAUAAUACUGACGCUCAUGCACGAAAGCGUGGGGAGCAAAC
RNAcentral lists this ribosomal RNA (420 nucleotides) under uncultured bacterium. Its description in RNAcentral is "partial 16S ribosomal RNA". It matches the Rfam family "Bacterial small subunit ribosomal RNA", at positions 361 to 773 of the family's 1533-position model. The record is from RNAcentral.